RNAcentral lists this long non-coding RNA (586 nucleotides) under Catharus ustulatus (Swainson's thrush). RNAcentral's name for it is "lncRNA (ENSCUSG00005000104.1)". The record is from RNAcentral. Lineage: Eukaryota; Metazoa; Chordata; Aves; Passeriformes; Turdidae.
AUGGUACUGCCAUGCAUCCUGAAAUUAUCCCUUACCCCACGUGCUGCCACACACGAGUGGGCAAUGACAAAAUAAUGCUUGCAAGUGACUCUAACAGGGAAUUAAACAUCUGCUCCAUCCUUUGUAUGGGCUGUGAUUCUGGAAGGACUAAGCAAUUUCAUAUUUUAUGUGUGUGACAAGAAGGGAUGCUAAGGUAGCCUUGAGGCCCUGAUUUUGGCAGCAGUUUUGCAAAAUGUCCCUGUAAGCUCAACAAACCCUGAGAAGAUCUUGGAGAAGCCUGCAGCAACUGAUGACCAAACCCAGAGGUGCUUUGGACAGAACCAGAGGGAGGUGCCAGCCUUGCCAGGAAGCACAGCGUGGCCCAGGUCAUGCUGCAGACACGGGGACAGGCUGUGGAGCAUCCCAGUGGUGACACCUUGAGCCUGGGACAGGGGCUCUGCACGAGGCCAGGGAAGGAGGCAUGGCUUUCCUCAUCUCUACCUGUGCAGGAGCCGUGUGACCCUUCCUGGAGCAGACAGAGUGCGAGAUCACCAGGCCAGCAGACUCACAGAAAAUAUGUAAGUAGGUUACAGGGGGGUGGAGGAAG